Molecule: long non-coding RNA, 705 nt
Filed under: Polistes fuscatus (common paper wasp)
Lineage: Eukaryota; Metazoa; Arthropoda; Insecta; Hymenoptera; Vespidae
Description: uncharacterized LOC122526727, transcript variant X2
Source: RNAcentral
UGUGUGUAUGUGUGCGCGCGCGCCUGCGUAUUACGAAGAGACUUGGAAAAAGGCGUCAUAGCCAGGAUGAUGUAUUGUUAACGUGUAUCGUUUAUGUGAGUAUUUUUAUCAUUUUAAUAAAAACAAUUUUCAAGUAUGCCGAAAACUAAUGCCGAAAAGUGUCGUGAAAAUCGGCAGAAAAGAAAAAAGAAAAAAAUAUUAAGGAGGUCCCAAAAAGUUGAACGGAACGUAUUCGUGAAUUUCGUGUACGCCGAAGAAGGUUAUUAAAUGUGCGAAAUAAUAUUUCUAAUGCGCUUAAUAAUAAUGCGUCCACUGUAGAAAAUAGUGAAAACGAUCAUCCAAAUUAUUUGCUAGAUGGUUCCGAUGGUUUAUUUACUUAUGAAAGAGAGAAUACUUUGUAGUGGGCUCAGGCCUACAUGCUUCUUCUUUCGAGGGAGGAGUGAAGACGCUGUAAAAUGUUCAGUGAUGUAUAGCGUAUAUUAAGGAGCAUCCCAUGAGCAAAAAAUCUGUGUAAUUGAUCAAUUACAUUUGUACUCGCUACAAAUAGAACAAGAGAGAAGUCUAGAUAAAUAGUGCGUCUCAACCAAAACCUGGUUUUCAUUUAUCUAUUUUAAUUUUAUUUCAAGAUGCCGAAAACAAAUUAUCAAAUCUCAAAGAAGAGUACUGAUCAAAAUAAAGCAACGAAAGUUAAACUACCACAGAAAA